UUUCCAGAAACUCUGUGCAAAGAACAGAGGCAAGCCUCCAGCCAGGAGCUCAUGAAAUCAUGAACUGAGGCCUCAGUGCAAUAGCUCAUGAGGAACUGAAUUAUUUCAACAGCCAGUUCUGGAAGUUGGAAGUACAAGAUCAGAUUGCCAGCAUCAUCAGGUACUCAUGAGGGCCGUCUUCCAGCUUGCAGACUGCCAACUUCUCAUUGUGUCCUCAGGUGAGGAAAAUUUGGCUUGUGGUGAUAGUCUUGGAUAUCACCUUCAUCCCCUCAGAUGUUUGUAGAUAAUCCUUCAUUAUAAUUGGAAUGAAUACUGUAGAUAUAUGAGGUUGGACUAUCCUACGUUUUGCUUGUUUAUGGGUUUUGCAUCUUGAUGUCUUCCUGAAGUAUUCUUCAUGGGGAAUUUCCAAAUCAACCACAAUUUGAUAUCAAAGUAAUGUCAAGUGCUUCUGACCCACUGCAUUAAACGUGUGCUGAGCAGUUGGUGGUAGAAGACAUUAUUGUGAAGGCUGCUCACCACCAAUUUCAUCACUGUUGCUAACUCCAGCUCAUCUAAUCUCUGCAACAUCUGCUGCCAGCACCUUCUCUUGCCUCCUUUUGUGAACAUAGUUUUUUCUUCUGGUUAGAAAAUCAGUUCGAACUUCUUGAGUUUUGUGUUUUAAACUCUUCUCAACUGUUCCCAUGAUUGAUGGAUGCCCAGAGGCGACCUCUUUAUCUCCAGCAACAUAUUUGGCUGUUGGCCCGGUAGAGAGGUACUCCAGAAGCUUGCUGGUUCAUCAUGCUCUCACCUUUAACCACAACUAUUUAUCUGACUCCUUCCAUCUCCACAGCACUGUGUGAGGGAUCAGUGAUAAGAGACGGUGAAAGACAUGCGCAAAUGGAUAAAUAAUAAGCAGGAUAUGUAGAAUGACACAACUAUUGGUGAGUAAUUUAGGAGAUCCAAUAACUAAAAAAAAAAGAUUGGGGACAAGUUCAUGGAAAGAGUAAUCAACUAAGCCUUAACACAUAAAAUUGACAAAUAGAGAAGGCAUGCAAUCCAGUAGAAUAGAGUGCAAAAGAGGUAGAAGACUAAUCGUUUCAAGACAUGUUGAGCCACAACAGCAAUAACAUUGUGACAAAAAACGUCGGUGUAGAUUCAAUGACGGAUCAAGCUGUAUAGACUUUUUUUUACCCUCAUAUACUGAAUAGUCAUUUAAGGUAUACAGUGCCAACAUAAGAGAGAAAGAUAAACUUUUUUUAACACAAGUUGUAGGCCUUGGAAAGAAGUUUUCCAGUAACAAGAUAACACGAUAAUGUACUGUGGUUAUAAGCUCAAAGUGGUAUAUUUGAUUCAGUGUUCCCAGAACCACCAAAACCUUGGAACCAUUGUUUAGCUAAAGCUACUAGAACAACAGAAUAACCUACUUUGUGGCACUGUAAAGUGAAAUUAUACUACACACAAAUACUUGACAUAAAAUACAUUUCCAAACUCAAUUAUUAGGGAUAACAUAAGCACAAAAUGAUGCUUUGCAAACAUCAUGUAUCCUAUAACUGGAGAAAAAAAAUUAAUGACAUGAAGUGAAAUGACUGAGUUCUGAAACUACAUCUCAAUUUAAAUAGCAUAAGCAAUUUAGUAUACAACAUUCUUCAAAAUCAAUUGUUGAAGGUUAACUAUAAUCUACAUACAAAAACAACUUUGUCAACUUUUUAUAUGGAUUUUCCUUCUAAACAUAUUUACUUUAUGUGUAAAAUCAAAAAAUUUCCUGCGUUAAAGGCUAAGACUUGACUUUAUGAAUACACGCCCAAAAAUUGGUGGUGGCUGGUUUCUGUUUUUAUUUUGUAAGCUUAGUAUAAUGGUUGUCCAGAACUUGUAAGCAAUGACCUCAUUUCUAAGAGGACAAGAUGCAAAAGACCAUUUUUACAGAUUAACCAACUGGUUCCUUUAGGAAGAGUAAUAUUUCAACAUGUUCCUGUAUUUCAAGAAUAUAAAUAAUUAAAAAGAUGAAGAUAUGUGAAAUACACAAAGAAAAAAAAUAGAGAAAAUAGCAUUUAAAGCAAAUUAUCCUAGCUCCCUCAAUUAAUAUUUUAAAACCAUGACAAUCAGUUAUUAAUAUAAAUUGUUAAUUUUAUUUAAUACAACAUCAAUAUAAUUCAUACCAUCUUCUUCAACUAGGUGGUCUAUCAUUUUGGAGUUUCUUUCCACCUCUGGAGAAUUGCUCAGGAAAUCUGGCUAACAUACCAAAUAAACCAAAUGGAUUUAA
This 2239-nucleotide non-coding RNA is filed under the name Pan troglodytes (chimpanzee). The record is from RNAcentral. Lineage: Eukaryota; Metazoa; Chordata; Mammalia; Primates; Hominidae.